This is a ribosomal RNA of Pteropus vampyrus (large flying fox), 122 nucleotides long. NCBI's taxonomy places the organism in Eukaryota, Metazoa, Chordata, Mammalia, Chiroptera, Pteropodidae. The record is from Ensembl.
UCAUAUUACAUUUCCCAAAUUUUUAAAUAAUUUUGUCUUGUCUGAUCUCGGAAGCUAAGGAGGGUCGGGCCUGGUUAGUACUUGGAUGGGAGACCACCUAGAAAGACCAGGUGCUAUAAGUG